Molecule: ribosomal RNA, 254 nt
Filed under: uncultured bacterium
Lineage: Bacteria
Description: partial 16S ribosomal RNA
Rfam family: Bacterial small subunit ribosomal RNA
Source: RNAcentral
UACGUAGGACCCAAGCGUUAUCCGGAAUCACUGGGCGUAAAGCGUACGUAGGCGGCGCGUUAAGUGCAAUGCGAAAUCCUGGGGCUCAACCCUAUGGACUGUGUUGCAUACUGGCGUGCUUGAGGAUGGCAGAGGCAAGUGGAAUUGGUAGUGUAGCAGUGAAAUGCGUAGAUAUUACCAGGAACACCAAUGGCGAAGGCAGCUUGCUGGGCCAUAUCUGACGCUGAGGUACGAAAGCGUGGGGAGCGAACAGG